Molecule: ribosomal RNA, 308 nt
Filed under: uncultured bacterium
Lineage: Bacteria
Description: bacterial SSU rRNA
Rfam family: Bacterial small subunit ribosomal RNA
Source: RNAcentral
GAUGAACGCUGGCGGCGUGCCUAAUACAUGCAAGUCGAACGAAAUUAUUUUAAUAGAAGAUUACUUGUAAUUGAAAGUUAAAUUAAUUUAGUGGCGAACGGGUGAGUAAUACAUAAGUAAUCUGCCCUUUAAGGACCGGGAUAACUGUUGGAAACGAUGGCUAAUACCGGAUAAGUAAUUGGAAGGCAUCUUCUAAUUAUUAAAGUUUAAAUACACACAAGGAUGAGCUUAUGGUGCAUUAGCUAGUUGGUGGGGUAACGGCCUACCAAGGCUGUGAUGCAUAGCCGACCUGAGAGGGUGAUCGGCCA